UAGUAACGAUGAUAUUCUUCCAUUGCCU
This 28-nucleotide non-coding RNA is filed under the name Mus musculus (house mouse). The record is from RNAcentral. Lineage: Eukaryota; Metazoa; Chordata; Mammalia; Rodentia; Muridae.